RNAcentral lists this ribosomal RNA (406 nucleotides) under uncultured bacterium. Its description in RNAcentral is "partial 16S ribosomal RNA". It matches the Rfam family "Bacterial small subunit ribosomal RNA", at positions 30 to 526 of the family's 1533-position model. The record is from RNAcentral.
AUUGAACGCUGGCGGCAGGCCUAACACAUGCAAGUCGAACGAGUGGCGGACGGGUGACCUAUGUCUGUGAAACUGCCUGAUGGAGGGCGACAACUACCGGAAACUGUUGCCAAAUCCGUACAACUUAGGAUGUGUCCAGUUGGGAUUAGGUAGUAGGUGGGGAAAAGGCACACCUAGGCGACGAUCCCUAGCUGGGCUGAGAGGAUGACCAGCCACACUGGAACUGCGACACGGGCCAGACUCCUACGGGAGGCAGCAGUGGGGAAUAUUGCACAAUGGGCGAAAGCCUGAUGCAGCCAUGCCGCGUGUAUGAAGAAGGCCUUCGGGUUGUAAAGUACUUUCAGCGGGGAGGCGUUACCCACAGAAGAAGCACCGGCUAACUCCGUGCCAGCAGCCGCGGUAAUAC